Non-coding RNA from Balaenoptera musculus (blue whale), 73 nucleotides. NCBI's taxonomy places the organism in Eukaryota, Metazoa, Chordata, Mammalia, Artiodactyla, Balaenopteridae. The record is from the annotation of a RefSeq genome assembly.
UCCCUGGUGGUCCAGUGGUUAGGACUUGGUGCUCUCACUGCCAGGGGUCCAGGUUCGAUCCCUGGUUGGGGAA